Molecule: long non-coding RNA, 173 nt
Organism: Mauremys reevesii (Reeves's turtle)
Lineage: Eukaryota; Metazoa; Chordata; Testudines; Geoemydidae
Exons: 3
Source: RefSeq, a predicted model, not a curated record
GCAGGAAGUGGAGUGACCCAGCCCCAGCCCGCUCCAUGCUGCCGGCACCCAGCUGCACUGCCGCUCCAGAGGCAGUGAGGCAAUUAAUUUUCUCUCAGAAAGAGGAAGAUGUCUUUUCAAACACAGGAAUGUACCUGUUGGACAAUCAGAGGAGCUACUUCAUUCCUAUGGAC